Molecule: long non-coding RNA, 368 nt
Organism: Triplophysa dalaica
Lineage: Eukaryota; Metazoa; Chordata; Actinopteri; Cypriniformes; Nemacheilidae
Exons: 3
Source: RefSeq, a predicted model, not a curated record
UCAAUACUCAUCUGCUAUUGUACUUUCUCACUGUGUGGCUAUGGAACCAUCGGUGUCAGCACUGGAACUUUCUGUUAUUCUCAUCCAGGGGCGAGAUGGUUCCAAUCCUUGCCUCAGCCUCUCCACCCGGCUCACUGAGGUCCAAUGAUCUUACCCUGGAAGAGAUAUUCCUCUGUGUUCAUGUCGGGAUUGUCAGUGAUGAUAUCGAAGGGGGAUCGGCCUGCCAUCAUUUCAAACAUGAGCACGCCCAGGGCCCACCAGUCUACACUGAACCCUGACAGAGAGGAAUAAAGAGUAGAGUUCACAUUUCAAGGCAAAACAUUUUCACAUCUCACCGACUCUCUGUUUGAAAACAGGAGUGAAGUCCC